CACUGGGCCAGAGUGAAUACUUUUACAGUAGUAAACUGCUGCAUCUUCAGCCUUCAGUCCAGUGAUGGUCAUAGAGAAGUCAGAGCCGCUUCCACUGCCACUAAACCGAGGUGAGAGUGACGGUGGAUCCUGGAGCAGACGUCUCGACUGCAGGCUGAGUCACAGUCACAGUCUGACCGCUGCAUCCUGCACACAGAAACAGAUCAUUGAUUUCUCAGCAGAAAUAAAGGAGAGGAAAGGCAGCACAUGAUGUUUGAAAUGUUGCUGAGUGAAUGAACCUGUGAAACAGCAGCAGGCCAGCGUCCAGAUGAGGAUGGUGAUGAGAGUCAUGGUGCUUUCUGCUGACUGACACAUGUGAGUCCUGCAGUGUUGAACUCACAGGAAUAUAAACCUUCUCAGUUCACUGGAGGAUCAGCUGACCAUGCAAAGCCUCCUCUCUAUGGAAAUGAUGUCUCUGCUCUCAGCACACUGAAGGCAACGUGGGACACGAAACCAGGAGGAACACUGUCUGGAUUUACACCGUCUAUCAUCUGAAUGGAAGAACAUAUUUAUAUCAGGAGUGGAGAUGAGGAUUUGAGUUUGUGUCCACUGUGGUUGGUAUGAUAUGUCUGUUUGUCUGACAUUAACAUACAUACAGAGAUUCACUGUAGAUAAAUAACAUGUUUCAGUUCUGUUUCAAAUACAUUUGUUAAUAACUAUUAUUGAAAAGCCUCGUGUUCAUUUAACCGUGUAGAAACUAAUAUAAAACUGACAAAGUUAGUUGUGUAGAAGACUGUAAUGGUUUCUCUGCCAGGUGUAGAAAAGUGAUGAGAAAUGACAUAAAUCAUCUUAAUUCUUCCAGAGAUGUAAUCCAUAUCUUUAGAAAAGCUUUGUUGAUUUAAAAACUGUAUAUGUGUCUCUGUUAUCAGUGAGAUCAGGGAGCUUUCUCAGUGAUACAUGCUUGCUGACAGUGCAGGAGGUUUUUGUACGGCCACUCAAUGAGUUUGUAUCACUGUGGUACACUUUUGGUGGAGGAACCAAACUCAUCGUUGACUUGGGUGUGCAGCAGCCCACCCUGAGCGUCCUCCCCCCCUCCAGAGAGGAGCUGCAGCAGGGCAGUGCCACCGUGGUGUGUCUGGCCAGCGGGGGCUUCCCCUCCGCCUGGAAGCUGGGCUGGAAGCUGGGGGGCAGCAGCAGCUCCUCAGGGGGGUCCCACAGCCCGGAGGUCC
Gymnodraco acuticeps is the source of this 1208-nucleotide long non-coding RNA. RefSeq lists it as uncharacterized. The transcript has 3 exons. The record is from RefSeq and is a predicted model, not a curated record. Lineage: Eukaryota; Metazoa; Chordata; Actinopteri; Perciformes; Bathydraconidae.